This 4485-nucleotide ribosomal RNA is filed under the name Triticum aestivum (bread wheat). RNAcentral describes it as "partial small subunit ribosomal RNA". The record is from RNAcentral. Lineage: Eukaryota; Viridiplantae; Streptophyta; Magnoliopsida; Poales; Poaceae.
AUGGCGGAGACAGUGGUGAGCAUGGCGAGGUCCAUGGUGAGGGGCGCCAUCAGCGUGGCCGCUUCUGCCGCUGCCGCUGAGGUGGGCCUCCUCGUCGGCGUCCGAAAGGAUAUCUGGUUCAUUAAAGACGAGCUCGAGACGAUGGAGGCAUUCCUGGAGGUCGCUGAAUCAAUAAAGAAGAAAGAUGUGCUCCUCAAGGUGUGGGCAAAACAAGUAAGGGAUCUGUCGUACAACAUUGAAGAUUGCCUCAGUGAGUUCAUGGUGCAUGUGGGAAGCCAAAGCUUCUUACGUCGGCUCAUGAAGCUCAAAGAUCGCCAUCGGAUCGCUGUACGGAUACGCGAUCUCAAAGCAAGAGUUGAAGAAGUAAGCAUCAGGAACACACGCUAUAACUUGAUCAAGGCGGAGGCCUCCAACACCACGGGUGACAUGGAUUCUCACAUGGAAGAUGUUCGCAAUCACUCGGCUAGCAACAUUGAUGAAGCAGAACUUGUUGGCUUUUCCAAGCCGAAGAAGGAGUUAAUUAAGUUGAUGGAUGUCAAGACUGAAGAAGGUACAGCCAAGGUGGUAUUUGUUGUUGGCAUGGGUGGUUUAGGAAAAACUACUCUUGCCAGGAAAGCAUUUGAAAGUAAGGAAGAUAUUGUGAAUAAUUUUUCUUGCCAGGCUUGGAUCACAGUCUCGCAGACAUUUUCCAAGAUAGAGAUGCUCAAGGAUAUGAUCAUGCAACUUUUUGGAAAUGAAGAUCUGAAGAAGCGUUUGAAGGAACUUGAGGGGAAGACGGUGCAAGUAGUUGAUCUCGCCAGAUACCUUAGGGAAAAGCUACAAGAGAAGAGGUACUUUAUUGUUCUUGAUGACUUGUGGACCAUUGAUGCAUGGGGGUGGAUCAAAGAUAUUGCUUUUCCUACUACCAACAUCAAAGGUAGCCGGAUAAUAGUAACAACACGAGAUAUUGGCCUAGCUCAGCAGUGUACUUCCAAAUCGCUUAUUUACCACCUUGAACACCUACAUAUAGAUCAAGCCACAAAUUUGCUACUGAAAAAGAUUGGGAAAACAGACGAAGAAACAAAAAGUGAUGAAAGGAUGCAGAACGUGAUUUCCAAAAUAGUAAAUAAGUGUGGUGGUUUACCAUUGGCUAUACUCACCAUAGGAGGUUUGCUUGCUACCAAAGUGGUAGAAAUGUGGGAGAGUAUUUAUGAGCAGAUUCCCUCAGAGCUUGGGACUAACCCAAGCCUUGAAGCAAUGAGGAGGAUGGUUACUCUUAGUUACAACCAUUUGCCAUCUCAUCUUAAAUCGUGCUUCCUAUAUUUAAGCAUCUUUCCGGAAGAUUUUGAAAUCAAGAGAAGACGUUUGGUUGAUAGAUGGAUAGCAGAGGGGCUUGUUAGAGCUAGUGGUGGAGUUAAUGUUGAGGAUGUUGGAAUAGGUUAUUUCAAUGAGCUAAUCAACCGAAACAUGAUUCAACUAUCAAAAGUGAACGUAGAAGGAAUUGUUAAGAGCUGCCGGGUCCAUGAUAUCAUGCGUGAUGUAAUGGUCUCAAUUUCUAGAGAUGAAAACUUUGUGCACCUGUCAAUACGGAGAUUAAGAGGAUUGCAGAACUUGGACAUCAGAGACAGUUAUAUUGUAGCACUGCCAACUGAGAUCACUGAACUCCAUAGUCUCCGCAGCCUUCGCUGUAGCAGAUGGGCUCCGUACUCUAGCCGGUGGUCCAAGACAAAUGGUGUUGGGGUUCCAAGAGGGAUCAGUAAAUUAAAGGAGCUGCAGAUACUAGAGGUGGUGGACAUCAAUCAAACCAGCAAGAAAGCAGUUAAAGAGUUGGGGGAGCUUAUUCAGCUAAGAAAACUAAGCAUUGUAGGUAAAGGAAGGUUUGCCGAUCAAAAACGCAAGAUACUCUAUCUCUGUGCCGCCAUAGAGAAGCUCUCCUCCCUGCGCUCUCUUAGUCUGGAUGUUGGAAGUGGGUCACUCGAGUGGUUGCAUAAUGUUUCCUCCCCUCCUGCCCUGCUAAAGAAGUUGAAGUUGCUCGGAGAUCUUGGAGGGAAGAUGCCCGAGUGGGUUGGAAGUCUGAAGCAUUUGGUGAAGAUUCACUUGGAGUGGAGCAGACUAAAGGAAGAUCAAGUCACGGAAAUGCUAGGAAAGCUGCCCAAGCUCAUGCUCUUCAGUCUAGAUAGUUAUGCUUAUGUUGGGAAGAAGCUAGUGUUCAGAGCAGAAGCAUUUGUGAAUCUCAGAAAACUUAGUAUUGAUAUUACUUAUCCACUGACGGAGGUGCGAUUCGAGAAGGGCGCCUCGCCCAAGAUGGAAUUGAUAGAAUUCAGUGAUGGCGAUUUGAAAUCAGAGAUUAUUGGUAUCAAUCACCUUCCAGUGCUCAAGCAGAUUUCACUUGGUAGAAAAGGCAGAGUGGCGAACCUUGGGAGACCUGCAGCGAGCAUGACUUGGGGGACGUCGUCCAAGGAUCCGAUGAUGCAGAAGCAGAGGAGGAACCAUCCCUUUUUCCUGAGCGUGCAGCAAUGGGAGAGGGCUCCUCGCAGGCGACGAACCUCAGAUCACCUUCACCUCUCUGUAUUUUCUUUACGCUCACAACCAGAAGUGGUGGCCAUGCCGACGAGGAAUGUCCUCAGUCAGGAUGAUCUGCUCUACGCUUACAACCCAUGCCGAUUUGUAAUUGAUGAUGGUCUCGUCUCAGUCCUUUCAACUCUUCAGCACUUCCUGGUGCCUCCUUCUACCACCGUGCUGGUUACUAGCUACCAAGGAAUCAACUGGAGGAAGUUAUCUCGCUACAUGUUGUACAUAUACUUGCAAUUUCUGAUACAUGGUGUUGUCGCUCUGCGAACACAUCUAUAUUCAGCUGCGGGGAGAAGUGGAAGCUCCAACGGGCUAUAUCAUAAAACGCUACUCAAGUUUGGUGGCUGGUUGUGGCCUCUGAAGUUAUGCUCCCUGAUCAGAUCAAUUUACUGCAGAAAUAGUUAUAUUACAGCACUACCAGCUGGGAUCAGUGAACUCCAUAGUCUCCGCAGCCUUCGUUGUAGCAAAAAAGAAUCCCCGGUCUAUUUUAGUCCAAAUCUUCCCAAGCAUUGUUUGAUGGAGACAUUGCGCCUGCCCAUGCUAUGCACACCUUUAGUUGAUCUCGACGUGCAUGCUCACCUAGUUGCUGAGCUACAUAUGGGGAUCUCUAGCGGGUGGUCGGAUUCCAAGAGGGAUCAGCAACUUAAAGGACCUACAGAUACUAGAGAGAAGCUCUCCUCCUUGCACUCUCUUAGUGUGGAUGCUUACCAUGAUGGAUCACUCGAGUGGUUGCAUAAUGUUUCCUCUCCUCCUCCCCUGCUAAAGAAGUUGACGUUGGUCGGAGAUCUUGGAGGAAAGAUGCCCGAGUGGGUUGGAAGUCUGAAGCAUUUGGUGAAGAUUCACUUGAAGUGGAGCUACCUAAAGAAAGAUGAAUUCACGGAAGUGCUAGGAAAGCUGCCGAAGCUCAUGCUCCUAAGUCUAGAUGAUAAAGCUUAUGAAGGGGAGAAGUUAGUGUUCGGAGCAGAAGCAUUCCUAAAUCUCAGGCAACUUUGUAUUUAUGUUCUGUUGAGACUGAAGGAGGUGAGAUUCCAGAAGGGCGCCUUUCCCCAGUUGGAAACCAUAGAAAUCACCUGGUGCCAGUUGGGAUCAGGAAUUAUUGGUAUCAAUCACCUUCCAGUGCUCAAGCAGAUUUCACUUGGUUACAACGGGAAAGUGGCAAGGCUUGCUAUGCUGCAAGCUGAAGUGGACACACACCCCAGCAAUCCUGUGGUGCAACUCAAACAAGACCGCAGCCAGCAUGACUUGGGGGACGGCGUCCGAGAAUCCGUUGUUGUGGAAACAGAGGAUGAAGAGGAACCAUCCCUCCUCCUCGAGACUUGCAUGGGGGGAGAGAGGGCACAGUCAGAAGCGGCAGCCAUGCCCACGACGAACGUCAUCAGUGAUGCUCUCGUCUCAGUUUCUUUGGAAUCAUCACCACUUAUUGGUCCUGCUUCUACCACCAUGAAGACUACAGCUAGCAACGGACAACCGGAUGUGUCCUUGGAUUCAGAAGACAAGUCACCGGUCGACGGAAGACUGGCUACCACCAUUGAUGUGAUUUGUAUGUCUUAUGCUCGCAAAAACCUAACACACACGGCAACCGCAAGGCACGAUACCAGGAUAUGUGGUUCCCCUUCCACUGAUGGGACUGUGACCUAUAAUGAGACAAAUGAAGUCUCUGCUUCAUUACCUAUCAGACAAGGCAUCAGGCACCUGCAGGGGGCAAGGACAAAAUUAGCACGGAUCAUACCGGUGACAACAAAAGAUUAUCUUGUUCUUUCUCAACGGACUUUCAGUCAUACAGCCACUACCAACUCUUCGAUCCAGCAAGUGCGAACAGUAAAGAGUAAACAUGACACUGAACUACUGAGGGGGCGACGGCGAGGGAGACGCCGGCUCUUCUGCUCGCACUUGGACUUAUUUGUCUGCUGGGCUGGCCCAACUGGGCCCAGAUAA